UCCCUACCACCCCACACUUUGAUUUUUGUAUGUUCUUUAAUGAUUCAAGUGCUUCUAGGAGGUAUAGGUUCAAACAAUCAGCUAUUCAAACACAAGGAUAUAGGUCAUUAUAGGGUUAUUAAAGAACAUGCUUCAAGCUCAAAGGGGUUGACUAUGGAAAUAUACACAGGUGGAUUUACAAUUAUAUAUAAGCUUACACAAAGAAAUGCCCCAAUCACUCUACAACCAAACAACUUUUAUUUCGCUUUGCAAACACACAAGGCAAGUUUUAGGUAUCGCAUGCAAGCAUAGAAUGCAAGUAAAAUCUCACACAC
This 314-nucleotide long non-coding RNA is filed under the name Nicotiana benthamiana. Its description in RNAcentral is "long non-coding RNA (NBEN_LNC029032)". The record is from RNAcentral. Lineage: Eukaryota; Viridiplantae; Streptophyta; Magnoliopsida; Solanales; Solanaceae.